GAUGGGGUGCCCACGCCCGUGUGAAGCUCCUUCGACGAGUCGAGUUGUUUGGGAAUGCAGCUUUAAAUGGGUGGUAAAUUUCAUCUAAAGCUAAAUACUGGCCGGAGACCGAUAGCGCACAAGUAGAGUGAUCGAAAGAUGAAAAGCACUUUGAAAAGAGAGUUAAACAGCACGUGAAAUUGUUGAAAGGGAAGCGCUUGCGACCAGACUCGCCCACGGGGUUCAGCCGGCAUUCGUGCCGGUGUACUUCCCCGCGGGCGGGCCAGCGUCGGUUUGGGCGGCCGGUCAAAGGCCCUUGGAAUGUACCGCCCCCCGGGGCGGCUUAUAGCCAAGGGUGCCAUGCGGCCAGCCCGGACCGAGGAACGCGCUUCGGCUCGGACGCUGGCAUAAUGGUCGUAAGCGACCCGUCUUGAAACACGGACCAAGGAGUCUAACAUCUACGCGAGUGUUCGGGUGUCAAACCCGUGCGCGCAGUGAAAGCGAACGGAGGUGGGAACCCCUCGGGGCGCACCAUCGACCGAUCCUGAUGUCUUCGGAUGGAUUUGAGUAAGAGCGUAGCUGUUGGGACCCGAAAGAUGGUGAACUAUGCCUGAAUAGGGCGAAGCCAGAGGAAACUCUGGUGGAGGCUCGCAGCGGUUCUGACGUGCAAAUCGAUCGUCAAAUUUGGGUAUAGGG
RNAcentral lists this ribosomal RNA (675 nucleotides) under Penicillium sp. RNAcentral's name for it is "partial large subunit ribosomal RNA". It matches the Rfam family "Eukaryotic large subunit ribosomal RNA", at positions 226 to 922 of the family's 3401-position model. Lineage: Eukaryota; Fungi; Ascomycota; Eurotiomycetes; Eurotiales; Aspergillaceae. The record is from RNAcentral.